GACGAACGCUGGCGGCGUGCUUAACACAUGCAAGUCGAACGAAGUGGCGAACGGGUGAGUAACGCGUAAUCAACCUGCCCUUCAGAGGGGGACAACAGUUGGAAACGACUGCUAAUCCCGCAUACUGAAGGAGGGGCUUGCGUCUGAUUAGCUAGUUGGAGGGGUAACGGCCAACCAAGGCGGUGAGCAGUAGCCGGGCUGGGAGGAUGAACGGCCACAUUGGGACUGAGACACGGCCCAGACUCCUACGGGAGGCAGCAGUGGGGAAUCUUCCGCAAUGGACGAAAGUCGGACGGAGCAACGCCGCGUGAGUGAUGACGGCCUUCGGGUUGUAAAGCUCUGUUAAUCGGGACGCGGUACCGGAAGAGAAAGCCACGGCUAACUACGUGCCAGCAGCCGCGGUAAUUC
This 408-nucleotide ribosomal RNA is filed under the name uncultured bacterium. RNAcentral's name for it is "partial 16S ribosomal RNA". It matches the Rfam family "Bacterial small subunit ribosomal RNA", at positions 28 to 526 of the family's 1533-position model. The record is from RNAcentral.